RNAcentral lists this ribosomal RNA (834 nucleotides) under uncultured crenarchaeote. RNAcentral's name for it is "bacterial SSU rRNA". It matches the Rfam family "Archaeal small subunit ribosomal RNA", at positions 48 to 859 of the family's 1478-position model. The record is from RNAcentral. Lineage: Archaea; Thermoproteati; Thermoproteota.
GACAUGCUAGUCGAGCGCUUCAAGCCAAAAAGAGGCGCGGCAUACAGCUCAGUAACACGUGGCUAAUCUGCCCUUGGGAUAGGAAUAACCCCGGGAAACUGGGGCUAAUUCCCAAUAGGCGAAGAACUCUGGAAUGAGUCUUUACCAGAAAAGACGCUUGCGUUAUGCUCGUAGGCGUCGCCCAAGGAUGAGGCCGCGACCGAUCAGGUUGUUGGUGAGGUAAUGGCUCACCAAGCCUUUUACCGGUGCGGGCCGUGAGAGCGGGAGCCCGGAGAUGGGCACUGAGACAAGGGCCCAGGCCCUACGGGGCGCAGCAGUCGCGAAAACUUUGCAAUAAGCGAAAGCUUGACAGGGCUAUCCCGAGUGCCAUCCGCUGAGGAAGGCUUUUACCCAGUCUAGAACGCUGGGGGAAUAAGGAGAGGGCAAGUCUGGUGUCAGCCGCCGCGGUAAUACCAGCUCUCCGAGUGGUGUGGAUGUUUAUUGGGCCUAAAGCAUCCGUAGCUGGCUAAGUUAGUCCCUUGUUAAAUCCACCGAAUUAAUCGUUGGAUUGCGGGGGAUACUGCUUGGCUAGGGGACGAGAGAGGCAGACGGUAUUUCCGGGGUAGGGGUGAAAUCCUAUAAUCCCGGGAAGACCACCAGUGGCGAAGGCUGUCUGCUAGAACGCGCCCGACGGUGAGGGAUGAAAGCUGGGGGAGCGAACCGGAUUAGAUACCCGGGUAGUCCCAGCUGUAAACGAUGCAGCUAGGUGUUUGGACGGCCACGUGCCGUUCUAGUGCCGCAGGGAAGCUGUUAAGCCUGCCGCCUGGGGAGUACGAUCGCAAGAUUGAAACUUAA